CAGCCGCCGCGGUAAUACGAAGGUCCCGAGCGUUGUUCGGAAUCACUGGGCGUAAAGGGAGCGUAGGCGGCGUGGUAAGUCAGAUGUGAAAUCCCGGGGCUCAACCCCGGAGCUGCAUCCGAUACUGCCAUGCUAGAGGAUUGGAGAGGUAGCUGGAAUUCUUGGUGUAGCAGUGAAAUGCGUGGAGAUCAAGAGGAACACUCGUGGCGAAAGCGAGCUACUGGACAAUAACUGACGCUGAGGCUCGAAGGCCAGGGUAGCGAAAGGGAUUAGAUACCCCAGUAGUCCCUGUCUCUUAUAC
Molecule: ribosomal RNA, 301 nt
Filed under: uncultured bacterium
Lineage: Bacteria
Description: partial 16S ribosomal RNA
Rfam family: Bacterial small subunit ribosomal RNA
Source: RNAcentral